This 30-nucleotide non-coding RNA is filed under the name Rattus norvegicus (Norway rat). The record is from RNAcentral. Lineage: Eukaryota; Metazoa; Chordata; Mammalia; Rodentia; Muridae.
UCCAAGUCCGAGAACAAUUGGUACGCAGAC